UGCGCAGAGCGUGCUUCAGCACCACCUUGGGGAAGCUCACGCCCUUGAGCCGCGCGGUGCGGAUAUAUUGGGCGGUCAUCACCUCGGCCAUGCUCGCCCGUGUCAUGCGGGCGAUGUAGCCCAUGCCAUAGAGGGCGAUGGUCAUCACCGGCAGGGUGAAAUUCGCGAAAGUUGCAUCC
RNAcentral lists this non-coding RNA (179 nucleotides) under Rubellimicrobium thermophilum DSM 16684. RNAcentral's name for it is "Ruegeria cis52 sRNA". It matches the Rfam family "Ruegeria cis52 sRNA". Rfam says of the family: Cis-encoded. Targets oligo/dipeptide ABC transporter. The record is from Rfam by way of RNAcentral. Lineage: Bacteria; Pseudomonadati; Pseudomonadota; Alphaproteobacteria; Rhodobacterales; Roseobacteraceae.